AUUAUGUUGUUGAGUUGUGGGUCAGCUCGUCUGGUCGUGAUAUACAAUGAUAAUAACGAAGACAAUAAUAACCUGCGGUCGUUUUAAGCUCUCUGUGUGUAAUCGCGCAGAAUCUUGGGAUCUCGGACGCCGGUGAUCCAAUAAAGAAGGCUCGACCCCGUGUAAACAUGGAAGCAGAGGCCGAGGCCGAGGGUGAGGCUUGAGGGUGAGGAUUGAGGGUGAGGAUCGGUGGGCUGUGAUGUAGCGGCACGCCGUCACAACAGCAUCCAUCGCUGUCAGCGGCAGAACGCGUGUGCUCUCACUGCAAAAUCAGGCAGCACAUGGCCAGCGUGAGUGAGUCACAUUGGUCUGGUAACGAGAGCCUCCGCUCAGGGAGAGUCCCUCCAUGCGUCCUUGGGACUGGGGC
This is a long non-coding RNA of Gasterosteus aculeatus aculeatus (three-spined stickleback), 406 nucleotides long. The record is from Ensembl. Lineage: Eukaryota; Metazoa; Chordata; Actinopteri; Perciformes; Gasterosteidae.